GGACGGCCCCCGGAGCCUGGUGCUGCAAGGCUCCCCAGACCUCUGGGCCAUCAGAAGCCACUCAGCGAAGAUCAAGAGACCAGCUCAGGUUUUUACAAAGAUGGCUGUGGACCUUGGUGACUCUCUGGGCAGGAGUCCAUGUUGUGGCCUGUUCAAACCAGAUGCCACAUGCGGCCUCCUUGGCAGAAGGAGCCCACAGGGACCCCCCUCCGCAAUGUGUCCACAUGUUUUCCUCCCAGAGGGCUAUGGAGUAGGCCCCCGGAUGGCUCUUUCUCUUCCACCCCAUCAUUUUGAUGGCUCCCCUGCCAUGUCCUAGGCACUGGGGACAGGGUCAUAAAGUCCUCUCCUUAGAGUUUAUAGUCAGUGGGGCUCAACAGGCAGUGACUACAGUAAGUAAAUCAGUUAGCAGUUUAGCAGGUCAGUGCUCUAGAGCCACAGGAAGCGGCAGGGUGGGAGCCCUGUGUGUCCUGGAGUGCAGUGGGAGGUGGCCACUGUCACAUGGCUUCUUAGCAGAUUGGGGAUGGGGGAGGAGCCACCUGAUCUCAGCACUGAGAGCUUCAAGGUGGAGGGGGCUCAUCCUCUCUGCCAGGAAACAGGUGGGGUGGGCCUUGACAUGAAGCCCCUGGUCUCCACCAGGAUCACAGGCCCCCAGGGCCAAUAGCCAGGUGACAGCUAAGGCCCCAGGUGGGGGGCUUCCAGGGGAGGCAUCUGGUGUCACGAGAAGGGUCUCCCUGGCACAGGCCUUCACUGGCCAGGAUGGAGGAACACCCGCAUUCCCACACCCCAUGGGCUCUGCUAGCGGUGAUGGCUGGACCCAGAAUGCAGCAGUCAGCAGUCUCCUGACUGCUCCGUGGGGUUCUAGCCCAGGCCCACCCGGAGGGAUCUGGUGGACGUUGGCUGUGCAUCCAGAGCAUGAGGACCUCCCACAGGAAAGGCCAGUGGGAGGCCUGCCCCCCAGAUGAAGCCAAGUUGUGCCACAGCUGGGCAUGUAGCCUUGUGCACCUCGGGCACUGCUGGGUGGAGGUCUUGCAAGGGACAGGGCCCCAUUGGCAAGGAGGCUGACUUCCUGGAGCAGCCCCUGCUCUAGCACCUGGGCCCUGCCUGGGCCCACCCUGCCCUCCUGUGUCUUGCCAGGCACUCAUUCAGCUUCCUUCUCUCUGAGGCCCACCGCACCCUGGCUCUGCACAGUGGAGAGCCUCCAGGGACUGGUCAUGUCAUCUCCCACCAGAACUCUGUUUUCCCCUGUGCAGGUCAGACCUGGGGAAGCUACACACACGGAGGGGAGAAAAUGUGGAGCCACUGACCUUGGGGCAUUAGGAUUGUGUCUGUGGCCUAGGUCACAUCAGGAUUUGCCCUCUACAUUCUCCAAACAAAGGGCAGCCCUAGAGACCUUGUUUGAGUGCCUCCUCUGACCCUUUUUCCAAGUGACCCUCAGGCCUCAGCUGAGGAACCCAGGGCAAAAAAAGACCACAGUGGCUCUGGGCUGUCCUUGGUCUGGGGAGCUGGGUGCUCACAGUGCCUGCCAGAGGGGUCAUUCCUGGGGUCCCUGAUGGCCUUAACCAGGGACCACAGAGGAACCUGCAGCUGUGAACUAAGCCGCACCAUCUUUGGCCAUCUCUGUUCUCUGGAAAACAGAUUUUGGCACUGUGUACUUCUGAGCCUGGGCUUCCGUCCUCUGAGCACCGUGGCUCCCACCUUCCUGCGCCCCUUCCUGCCGGAGCCUGCUCAGUGAGCCCUGGGCCACAUCCAGGAGCAGGACUGGCAGGCCAUCUCGACAAGCGGCCUCCUAAUGGCCUCGGUCUGCCUCACGCCUGGGUUGCGGGGUACUUAGCGAGGCGCCACCCAUGGGGAGCCUGGACGCCCUCCUCCUGCACCUCGAGUGGCAGCCACAUCCGCGAGCAUCAGUGCAGUGGCUGUCGCAGGGUGGACUUGUGCGCCCUUCAGAACCCAUACAGCUGUCAACUGGAGGGAAACACGAAGCUCAGGAAAGGGAAGUCCCAUCUGGGAGAGCGGAUCGCGGGGAGCGGCCGAUGGACUUCUCACGCCCCUGGCCUCGCGGUGCCGUCAGGGCAGCUCUCCUUCCUGAGCUCCUUCUAGAAAGCCUGCGCCCGGAGGCACGGAGGCCUGCGCACCGCCUGUGCCACGGUGGCCGUCCGCCUCCCCACCCCACCCCCCCGCAGUGUCGCCCGCAGCGUCGCACGGCCAAGUCUUGAGAUGUGGGAUGACCCACCUUUCCACGGCGCUUUUGAUUUUAAGACUUGUUUUGGGGUCCUAAGACCUCAGCAUCUUCCCAUUUUUUUAUUUUG
Molecule: long non-coding RNA, 2306 nt
Filed under: Marmota monax (woodchuck)
Lineage: Eukaryota; Metazoa; Chordata; Mammalia; Rodentia; Sciuridae
Source: RNAcentral